Molecule: ribosomal RNA, 300 nt
Filed under: uncultured Methanomassiliicoccus sp.
Lineage: Archaea; Methanobacteriati; Thermoplasmatota; Thermoplasmata; Methanomassiliicoccales; Methanomassiliicoccaceae
Description: bacterial SSU rRNA
Rfam family: Bacterial small subunit ribosomal RNA (bases 53-300)
Source: RNAcentral
GGCCAGCUGCGUGGACGCGGCGCGGGUAAUAGGGCGGGUGCGGGGUUUGGCUGGAAUGACUGGGCGGAACGUGGUCGUAGGUGGUUUGGCGGGUGUGUCGUGAAAUCGGACGGGGUAAAGGUGGGCGUGCGUGCGAUACGGGCAGACUAGAGUACGGCAGGGGAGACUGGAAUUCCUGGUGUAGCGGUGGAAUGCGGAGAUAUCAGGAGGAACACCGGUGGCGAAGGCGGGUCUCUGGGCAGUAACUGACGCUGAGGAGCGAAAGCGUGGGGAGCGAACAGGAUUAGAUACCCGGGUAUC